Molecule: ribosomal RNA, 495 nt
Filed under: uncultured bacterium
Lineage: Bacteria
Description: partial 16S ribosomal RNA
Rfam family: Bacterial small subunit ribosomal RNA
Source: RNAcentral
GACGAACGCUGGCGGCGUGCCUAAUACAUGCAAGUAGAACGCUGAAAGAGGAGCUUGCUUCUCUGGAUGAGUUGCGAACGGGUGAGUAACGCGUAGGUAACCUGCCUGGUAGCGGGGGAUAACUAUUGGAAACGAUAGCUAAUACCGCAUAAGAGUAGAUGUUGCAUGACAUUUGCUUAAAAGGUGCAAUUGCAUCACUACCAGAUGGACCUGCGUUGUAUUAGCUAGUUGGUGGGGUAACGGCUCACCAAGGCGACGAUACAUAGCCGACCUGAGAGGGUGAUCGGCCACACUGGGACUGAGACACGGCCCAGACUCCUACGGGAGGCAGCAGUAGGGAAUCUUCGGCAAUGGACGGAAGUCUGACCGAGCAACGCCGCGUGAGUGAAGAAGGUUGUCGGAUCGUAAAGCUCUGUUGUAAGAGAAGAACGAGUGUGAGAGUGGAAAGUUCACACUGUGACGGUAUCUUACCAGAAAGGGACGGCUAACUACGUG